RNAcentral lists this long non-coding RNA (299 nucleotides) under Suricata suricatta (meerkat). RNAcentral describes it as "lncRNA (ENSSSUG00005014831.1)". Lineage: Eukaryota; Metazoa; Chordata; Mammalia; Carnivora; Herpestidae. The record is from RNAcentral.
GCCUCUCCAACCGUAGCCUUGGCCGGCUAGACCCCCUCCGCGUCGUCCCACGCCGCUCCCCUCCCCCACUGUCGCGAAGCUCCCGCCCGAGCGGACCACGUGCCGGGAACCGGGCGGGGAGAGACCACUCUUGAACCCCUUCCGGCUUCCUCGAACACCCCAGGCUGCAGCCCAUGCUCCCUAUGCUGGGUCCUCAGCUCUCCUAUCUUCAAAUGACAUCUCUUAUUACCUCUGUUAGUGAGAGUGGCCAUAAUUUUCUGCAGCCAGGACCUUCGAAGCUAUUAAAAAAUCACUGGUAG